UUGUUGCAGUUAAAAAGCUCGUAGUUGGAUUUCGGAAGGUCCUUAGCAGUCCGCCCCUUCGGGGAGCGGGUUGCUGGCCUCCUAUGUUCCUAACGGUCCUCAUCCGCGAGGGUGGGGAAUCAACCGCUAGGAUCGUUUACUUUGAGGAAAUUAGAGUGUUCAAAGCAGGCGUAACUCGCCUCCGAAUACGUUAGCAUGGGAUAAUGGAAUACGACUUCGGUCUUGUUUCGUUGGUUUCGCUUGGCUGAAGUAAUGAUUGAUAGGGACAGUUGGGGGCAUUAGUAUUUAGUUGUCAGAGGUGAAAUUCUAGGAUUUACUAAAGACUGACCAAUGCGAAAGCAUUUGCCAAGGAUGUUUUCAUUAAUCAAGAACGAAAGUAGGGGGAUCGAAGACGAUCAGAUACCGUCGUAGUCUCUACCGUAAACUAUGCCGACCAGGGAUCCGGAGAGUUUGCAUGGAUGACUCCCCGGGCACCUUGUGAGAAAUCAUAAGUGUUUGGGUUUUGGGGGGAGUAUGGUCGCAAGGCUGAAACUUAAAGGAAUUGACGGAAGGGCACCACCAGGAGUGGAACCUGCGGCUUAAUUUGACUCAACACGGGGAAACUUACGAGGUCAGGACACUGUGAGGAUUGACAGAUUGAAAGCUCUUUCUUGAUUCAGUGGGUGGUGGUGCAUGGCCGUUCUUAGUUGGUGGAGUGAUUUGUCUGGUUAAUUCCGUUAACGAACGAGACCUU
This 733-nucleotide ribosomal RNA is filed under the name Vermamoeba vermiformis. RNAcentral's name for it is "SSU rRNA". It matches the Rfam family "Eukaryotic small subunit ribosomal RNA", at positions 610 to 1344 of the family's 1831-position model. The record is from RNAcentral. Lineage: Eukaryota; Tubulinea; Echinamoebida; Vermamoebidae.